RNAcentral lists this ribosomal RNA (439 nucleotides) under uncultured Sphingobacteriales bacterium. RNAcentral's name for it is "bacterial SSU rRNA". It matches the Rfam family "Bacterial small subunit ribosomal RNA", at positions 943 to 1382 of the family's 1533-position model. Lineage: Bacteria; Pseudomonadati; Bacteroidota; Sphingobacteriia; Sphingobacteriales. The record is from RNAcentral.
GGUUUAAUUCGAUGAUACGCGAGGAACCGUUACCUGGGCUCGAACGUAAGAUGACUGUAGGUGAAAGCUUACAUCUCUUCGGAGCAUUUUACGAGGUGCUGCAUGGUUGUCGUCAGCUCGUGCCGUGAGGUGUCGGGUUAAGUCCCAUAACGAGCGCAACCCCUACCUUUAGUUGCCAUCAGGUUAAGCUGGGGACUCUAAAGGAACUGCCUACGCAAGUAGUGAGGAAGCGGGGAUGACGUCAAAUCAGCACGGCCCUUACGUCCAGGGCUACACACGUGCUACAAUGGUCGGUACAAAGGGUUGCCAAGCCGCGAGGUGGAGCUAAUCCCAUAAAACCGAUCGUAGUCCGGAUCGCAGUCUGCAACUCGACUGCGUGAAGUCGGAAUCGCUAGUAAUCGUGAAUCAGAAUGUCACGGUGAAUACGUUCCCGGGCCUU